Molecule: ribosomal RNA, 449 nt
Filed under: uncultured bacterium
Lineage: Bacteria
Description: partial 16S ribosomal RNA
Rfam family: Bacterial small subunit ribosomal RNA
Source: RNAcentral
AACGAACGCUGGCGGCAUGCCUAACACAUGCAAGUUGAACGAGACCUUCGGGUCUAGUGGCGCACGGGUGCGUAACACGUGGGAAUCUGCCCUUCGGUUCGGAAUAACUGAGAGAAAUUUCAGCUAAUACCGGAUGAUGACGAAAGUCCAAAGAUUUAUCGCCGAAGGAUGAGCCCGCGUAGGAUUAGGUAGUUGGUGGGGUAAUGGCCCACCAAGCCGACGAUCCUUAGCUGGUCUGAGAGGAUGAUCAGCCACACUGGGACUGAGACACGGCCCAGACUCCUACGGGAGGCAGCAGUGGGGAAUAUUGGACAAUGGGCGAAAGCCUGAUCCAGCAAUGCCGCGUGAGUGAUGAAGGCCUUAGGGUUGUAAAGCUCUUUUACCAGGGAUGAUAAUGACAGUACCUGGAGAAUAAGCUCCGGCUAACUCCGUGCCAGCCGCCGCCGUAA